This 328-nucleotide unclassified non-coding RNA is filed under the name soil metagenome. RNAcentral's name for it is "partial contains 5.8S ribosomal RNA, internal transcribed spacer 2, and large subunit ribosomal RNA". The stretch from base 1 to 120 matches the Rfam family "5.8S ribosomal RNA", at positions 35 to 154 of the family's 154-position model. The record is from RNAcentral.
GAUGAAGAACGUAGCGAAAUGCGAUAAGUAGUGUGAAUUGCAGAAUUCAGUGAAUCAUCGAAUCUUUGAACGCACAUUGCGCCCCUUGGUAUCCCGAGGGGCAUGCCUGUUCGAGCGUCAUUUCACCACUCAAGCCUGGCUUGGUGUUGGGCGACGUCCCCUUUGGGGACGCGCCUCGAAACGCUCGGCGGCGUGGCACCGGCUUUAAGCGUAGCAGAAUCUUUCGCUUUGGAAGUCGGGGCCCCGUCUGCCGGAAGACCUACUCGCAAGGUUGACCUCGGAUCAGGCAGGGAUACCCGCUGAACUUAAGCAUAUCAAAAGCGGAGGA